Molecule: ribosomal RNA, 109 nt
Filed under: Acanthosepion pharaonis
Lineage: Eukaryota; Metazoa; Mollusca; Cephalopoda; Sepiida; Sepiidae
Source: RNAcentral
CAAUAUCAUGUUGAAACACCGGUUCCCGUACGAUCACCGAAGUUAAGCAACGUCGAGCCUGGUCAGUACCUAGAUGGGUGACCGCUUGGGGGAAUACCAGGUGCUGUAA